AGUUUCGCCACAAGUUUAAGUACAAAUCCCGAAGGCAUUGAAUACGUGUUUUUGUUAGGAUUGACAAGGUGAAGCCUAGUCUACAUCCCCGUUACGACGGGCCUUUUGAAGUCGUUAAACGGCUGAGGAAAGAUUUCGUGCUAAAUAUCAACGGUAGGAAGGACACAGUGUCGAUAGACAGGCUGAAAC
Bradysia coprophila is the source of this 189-nucleotide long non-coding RNA. The record is from RefSeq and is a predicted model, not a curated record. Lineage: Eukaryota; Metazoa; Arthropoda; Insecta; Diptera; Sciaridae.